Rhinichthys klamathensis goyatoka is the source of this 612-nucleotide long non-coding RNA. RefSeq lists it as uncharacterized. The transcript is spliced from 3 exons. The record is from RefSeq and is a predicted model, not a curated record. Lineage: Eukaryota; Metazoa; Chordata; Actinopteri; Cypriniformes; Leuciscidae.
AGUCCCUCGUUAUAAAUUAAAUUAACCGACAGCAGUUUGUGUUUUAUCUUUAUUCCUGACUGGAGAACGAGCUUGGUUUGAGUCGCGCGCAGACUCCAAAACUGGCGGGAGCAGCUCGCGGGAAGGUGAAGCGCUUUUGCUAGCUGGUUAAUCUGUGGACGACGACAAUGACUGAAUAUGAAGUCUUCAAAUGAUAAACAGCUCAUAUUUCCAUCUCUGAUUUCACAUUACAAAGAGCCUAACAGUUCUUACCACAUCAGCACACACUGGCGGCACAUUUUCCUUCUGCUUCCCACUGUGACUCCGGACUUCAUUAUCUGCUGGUUCACUCUACCAGGAACACAAAAAGGGUAAAGGAGAGAAGUUUGGCUUUGAUGAGAGCAGAGAGCUCGAACCCUGCAGCGAUCAUGUGGAUGUUCAUCUCAUGACAUCAGCCCCCCAGUGAGAACAGCAGACUUUACAUGAGAGCAACCUCAUCCCAGUCUAAUGAUGGAAAUGUCUUUUGAGAGGUAGAGUAGUUUGGGUUUAACCCAAACAUGAAACUAUGUGGCUUUGCAUGAGGGAAAAAAAAAAAUAAGUCAAUUAAUUUGAGAACUGCUGCAACCAGAUCAU